RNAcentral lists this ribosomal RNA (245 nucleotides) under uncultured bacterium. Its description in RNAcentral is "partial small subunit ribosomal RNA". It matches the Rfam family "Bacterial small subunit ribosomal RNA", at positions 26 to 285 of the family's 1533-position model. The record is from RNAcentral.
AGAAUCAACGCUGGCGGCGUGCCUAACACAUGCAAGUCGAACGAGAAAGUGGAGCAAUCCAUGAGUAAAGUGGCGACCGGGCGAGUAACACGUGACUAACCUACCCUUGAGUGGGGGAUAACCUAGAGAAAUCUGGGCUAAUACCGCAUAAUACCUUCAGGUCAAAGGAGCAAUUCGCUUAAGGAGGGGGUCGCGGCCGAUUAGUUAGUUGGCGGGGUAAUGGCCCACCAAGACUGUGAUCGGUA